GAGAAAGUCCCGGUAGUUUUCCGUGAAGCGCGUAUCGAGGAUUGUAUUGUUUUAGACAGAUGACGUCAUUGAUGACAUCCGAAGCUUCGCCGCCCGUCCGUACCACGUGACGGGUUUAUGAAGUUGUCUGAAUCCACACGGUUUUAUUACACAUCCAUUAUCUACACAUGCACAAAAUGA
Etheostoma cragini (Arkansas darter) is the source of this 180-nucleotide long non-coding RNA. RefSeq lists it as uncharacterized. The transcript is spliced from 3 exons. Lineage: Eukaryota; Metazoa; Chordata; Actinopteri; Perciformes; Percidae. The record is from RefSeq and is a predicted model, not a curated record.